CGUCGGCCAUAGAAUCGAGAAAACGCCCCAUCCCGUCUGCUCUGGGCAGCUUGAAGCUCGAUAUCGCUCGGUUAGUACCAUCGUGGGGGACCAGAUGGGAGUCCCGGGUGCUGACGUU
Molecule: non-coding RNA, 118 nt
Organism: Kwoniella sp. CBS 6097
Lineage: Eukaryota; Fungi; Basidiomycota; Tremellomycetes; Tremellales; Cryptococcaceae
Source: the annotation of a GenBank genome assembly